GACGAACGCUGGCGGCGUGCUUAACACAUGCAAGUCGAACGGAAAGGCCCAGCUUGCUGGGUGCUCGCGUGGCGAACGGGCGAGUAACACGCGGGUGAUCUGCCUCUAACUUCGGGAUAAGCUUGGGAAACUGGGUCUAGUACCGGAUAGGACAUUCGUUUAGCGUCGGUGGUGGAAAGUUUGUUCGGGUAGUGAUGAGCCCGCGGCCUAUCAGCUUGCUGGUGGGGUAAUGGCCUACCAAGGCGGCGUCCGGUAGCCGACCUGGGAGGGUGGACGGCCACAUUGGGACUGAGGUACGGCCCAGACUCCUACGGGCGGCAGCAGUGGGGAGUAUUGCGCAGCAGGCGCACGCCUGAUGCAGCGACGCCGCGUGGGGGAUGCCGGCCUUCGGGUUGUGAACCUCUGUCGAAGGGGACGAAGCUUUGGUGACGGUACCUGAAUAGGAAGCCCCGGCUAACUACGUG
This 464-nucleotide ribosomal RNA is filed under the name uncultured bacterium. Its description in RNAcentral is "partial 16S ribosomal RNA". It matches the Rfam family "Bacterial small subunit ribosomal RNA", at positions 28 to 507 of the family's 1533-position model. The record is from RNAcentral.